GUCUGGUGCCAGCAGCCGCGGUAAUUCCAGCUCCAAUAGCGUAUAUUAAACUUGUUGCAGUUAAAAAGCUCGUAGUUGAAUUUCUGCGUCACCGUAUUUUGACUUUUGUCGACUGUCGGUUUCGCUUUUGGGAUUUAUCCCUUUUUACUUUGAGAAAAUUAGAGUGUUUCAAGCAGACUUUUGUCUUGAAUACUUCAGCAUGGAAUAAUAGAGUAGGACUUUGGUUCUAUUUUGUUGGUUUGUGAACCUUAGUAAUGGUUAAUAGGAACGGUUGGGGGCAUUCGUAUUUAACUGUCAGAGGUGAAAUUCUUAGAUUUGUUAAAGACGAACUACUGCGAAAGCAUUUGCCAAGGACGUUUUCAUUAAUCAAGAACGAAAGUUAGGGGAUCGAAGACGAUCAGAUACCGUCGUAGUC
Molecule: ribosomal RNA, 415 nt
Filed under: Babesia odocoilei
Lineage: Eukaryota; Apicomplexa; Aconoidasida; Piroplasmida; Babesiidae
Description: SSU rRNA
Rfam family: Eukaryotic small subunit ribosomal RNA
Source: RNAcentral